This 709-nucleotide ribosomal RNA is filed under the name uncultured bacterium. RNAcentral's name for it is "bacterial SSU rRNA". It matches the Rfam family "Bacterial small subunit ribosomal RNA", at positions 56 to 768 of the family's 1533-position model. The record is from RNAcentral.
UGCAGUCGACGGUGAAGAGGAGCUUGCUCCUUGGAUCAGUGGCGAACGGGUGAGUAACACGUGAGCAAUCUGCCCUUGACUCUGGGAUAACUGCGGGAAACUGUAGCUAAUACCGGAUAUUACCUUGGAAGGCAUCUUCUGGGGUGGAAAGAAUUUUGGUCAAGGAUGAGCUCGCGGCCUAUCAGCUAGUUGGUGAGGUAAUGGCUCACCAAGGCGACGACGGGUAGCCGGCCUGAGAGGGUGACCGGCCACACUGGGACUGAGACACGGCCCAGACUCCUACGGGAGGCAGCAGUGGGGAAUAUUGCACAAUGGGCGCAAGCCUGAUGCAGCAACGCCGCGUGAGGGACGACGGCCUUCGGGUUGUAAACCUCUUUUAGUAGGGAAGAAGCGAAGUGUUUUACAUGGAGUGACGGUACCUGCAGAAAAAGCACCGGCUAACUACGUGCCAGCAGCCGCGGUAAUACGUAGGGUGCAAGCGUUAUCCGGAAUUAUUGGGCGUAAAGAGCUCGUAGGCGGUUUGUCGCGUCUGCUGUGAAAACUGGGGGCUCAACCCCCAGCCUGCAGUGGGUACGGGCAGACUAGAGUGCGGUAGGGGAGAUUGGAAUUCCUGGUGUAGCGGUGGAAUGCGCAGAUAUCAGGAGGAACACCAAUGGCGAAGGCAGAUCUCUGGGCCGUAACUGACGCUGAGGAGCGAAAGCAUGGGGAG